Molecule: ribosomal RNA, 427 nt
Filed under: uncultured bacterium
Lineage: Bacteria
Description: bacterial SSU rRNA
Rfam family: Bacterial small subunit ribosomal RNA
Source: RNAcentral
UCGAGAAUUUUUCACAAUGGGCGCAAGCCUGGUGGAGCGACGCCGCGUGGGGGAUGAAUGGCUUCGGCCCGUAAACCCCUGUCAUUUGCGAUCAACCGUUAUUAUUUAAAAGAUGAUAACCUGAUAGUAGCGAAAGAGGAAGGGACGGCUAACUCUGUGCCAGCAGCCGCGGUAAUACAGAGGUCCCAAGCGUUGUUCGGAUUUACUGGGCGUAAAGGGUGCGUAGGUGGCGGUGUAAGUCGGAUGUGAAAUCUCCGAGCUCAACUCGGAAACUGCAUUGGAAACUACAUUGCUCGAGGGUUGGAGGGGGGACUGGAAUACUUGGUGUAGCAGUGAAAUGCGUAGAUAUCAAGUGGAACACCAGUGGCGAAGGCGAGUCCCUGGACAACUCCUGACACUGAGGCACGAAAGCUAGGGGAGCACACAG